UACGGAGGGGGCUAGCGUUGUUCGGAAUUACUGGGCGUAAAGCGCACGUAGGCGGCUUUGCAAGUUAGAGGUGAAAGCCCGGGGCUCAACUCCGGAAUUGCCUUUAAAACUGCAUCGCUAGAAUUGUGGAGAGGUAAGUGGAAUUCCGAGUGUAGAGGUGAAAUUCGUAGAUAUUCGGAAGAACACCAGUGGCGAAGGCGACUUACUGGACACAUGUUGACGCUGAGGUGCGAAAGCGUGGGGAGCAAACAGG
Molecule: ribosomal RNA, 253 nt
Filed under: uncultured bacterium
Lineage: Bacteria
Description: partial 16S ribosomal RNA
Rfam family: Bacterial small subunit ribosomal RNA
Source: RNAcentral